This 496-nucleotide ribosomal RNA is filed under the name uncultured bacterium. RNAcentral's name for it is "partial 16S ribosomal RNA". It matches the Rfam family "Bacterial small subunit ribosomal RNA", at positions 29 to 507 of the family's 1533-position model. The record is from RNAcentral.
AUGAACGCUGGCGGCGUGCCUAAUACAUGCAAGUCGAGCGAACAGACGAGGAGCUUGCUCCUCUGACGUUAGCGGCGGCCGGGUGAGUAACACGUGGUUAACCUACCUAUAAGACUGGGAUAACUUCGGGAAACCGGAGCUAAUACCGGAUAAUAUAUUUAACCGCAUGGUUCAAUAGUGAAAUACGGUUUUGCUGUCACUUAUAGAUGGAUUCGCGCCGCAUUAGCUAGUUGGUAAGGUAACGGCUUACCAAGGCAACGAUGCGUAGCCGACCUGAGAGGGUGAUCGGCCACACUGGAACUGAGACACGGUCCAGACUCCUACGGGAGGCAGCAGUAGGGAAUCUUCCGCAGUGGGCGAGAGCUUGACGGAGCAACGCCGCGUGAGUGAUGAAGGUCUUCGGAUCGUAAAACUCUGUUAUUAGGGAAGAACAAAUGUGUAAGUAACUAUGCACGUCUUGACGGUACCUAAUCAGAAAGCCACGGCUAACUACGUG